Molecule: ribosomal RNA, 509 nt
Filed under: uncultured bacterium
Lineage: Bacteria
Description: partial 16S ribosomal RNA
Rfam family: Bacterial small subunit ribosomal RNA
Source: RNAcentral
AUUGAACGCUGGCGGCAUGCCUAACACAUGCAAGUCGAACGGCAGCACGGUUAAGUACUUGUACUUAAUGGGUGGCGAGUGGCGAACGGGUGAGUAAUGCGCAGGAAUGUGCCUUAAAGAGGGGGAUAACUUGGGGAAACUCAAGCUAAUACCGCAUAAGCUCUGAGGAGUAAAGCUGGGGACCUUCGGGCCUGGCGCUUUAAGAAUAGCCUGCGUCCGAUUAGCUAGUUGGUAGGGUAAAGGCCUACCAAGGCGACGAUCGGUAGCUGGUCUGAGAGGAUGAACAGCCACACUGGGACUGAGACACGGCCCAGACUCCUACGGGAGGCAGCAGUGGGGAAUAUUGGACAAUGGGGGCAACCCUGAUCCAGCAAUGCCGCGUGUGUGAAGAAGGCCUGAGGGUUGUAAAGCACUUUCAGUGGGAGGAGGAUCGAUUGGUUAAGAGCUGAUUAAUUGGACGUUACCUACAGAAGAAGCACCGGCUAACUCCGUGCCAGCCGCCGCAGUAA